Molecule: ribosomal RNA, 253 nt
Filed under: uncultured bacterium
Lineage: Bacteria
Description: partial 16S ribosomal RNA
Rfam family: Bacterial small subunit ribosomal RNA
Source: RNAcentral
UACGUAGGGUGCAAGCGUUAAUCGGAAUUACUGGGCGGAAAGCGUGCGCAGGCGGUUUUGUAAGUUUGUCGUGAAAGCCCCGGGCUCAACCUGGGAAUGGCGAUGAAGACUGCAAGGCUUGAAUCUGGCAGAGGGGGGUAGAAUUCCACGUGUAGCAGUGAAAUGCGUAGAGAUGUGGAGGAACACCGAUGGCGAAGGCAGCCCCCUGGGUCAAGAUUGACGCUCAUGCACGAAAGCGUGGGGAGCGAACAGG